AGCAAAAAUGACUCUUCUCAGACUGUACAUUUUAACUGAUGAAGUCAGUGACAAAAGUUGGAGUGAUAUUAGUGUCACUGUCAGCCAACAAGCUUCUCCUUGCUGAGACUCCUCUUCCAAUCUGCUUCUGCAGUUUGCUGUCAAAGAGGAAAGAAUCUGAAAGGACUUCAGCAGAUGGGAAGCUGAACACACUUUGGGAGGAAAAAGCAAAUAUAUUGAGGAGACAGAAGAUGUUAUGCAUCUGAGAUGGCAAAGAACAUUCAUCUCUUUUAUGAAGCAUUGUGUAUGAAAGCAUCAGGGAGACUACAUACUUCUCUGUGAGAGUGCAGGGAAGAGGAUGCUUGCUUUGUUCGCUCAUCUUUGAUACGUGCCAUCACCUAAGAAAUGCCUCUCCAGAACACAAGGCACCAAUUCAUGGCCUGGUUCAUCUCUGGUUCAUGCCUCCUGAAACAGUAUGGAGAUACCCUCUGCUUGGCACAUUUCUAAUUCAUGGGGAUCGAGGACAAACUCAGCUCUGUAAUCAUCACUAAGAUUUUUAGGAAGGUGGGGAAAGUGGGAUAAUACCAAGAUGCAUUACGUGCAAAACCACAUAGAGAACAAGAGACAUAAAGGAAGACAGCAAAUUCUUCUUGCGUGGAUGAAAUCAUGAGUUUCUCCCUGGGAUCUUCCACAUCUCCUUUGAUCAGUCUUCCCAGACCUAACCCUGAAAUGUGCCAACAGGUCUGGUCCAAGUUAGUAAGAAGAAUUUCACUGCUGUUGGAGUGAGAAGUUGGUACUGUUGAAGUAAAUUUCACCAUUCUUUCCAACUAACCUUCAUUGCUGAUUGUCCAACAGAGGAAUGCCUCAGGCCUCCAAGUUGUUUCUGAAAAGAGGUAUUAGAUCUGCCCCUCUGGAAUGGCAUCAUUGAGACCAAGCAGAGAGAGAAGGUCUGUUUCUCCUGUAUUACUACGACUGAUACAAGCACAUUACAGGAUUUCCCUUUUUUAUUCCAGCCAGAACACCAGUUCUUUAGGAACAAACAGGUAAUCCUAUUGAUAGAAGCUGUUGGUCUGGAGAGGGCAAUUUAUUUCUUAUUCUCUUUGGUAUUUUAAUAAGGGCAAUCAACCCUAAUUCCAAAUUCUCUUGUGAGAUUUUGCCUUCUGGGUAAGAAACAUCCUUUGCCUCCCCCUCCCCCCUUUUCCCAAACAAUCUUCUGCUGUGCUAGGAAGAUGGAAUGUAUAGGUGAUAUCCCUUUUAGAAAAUGCAUCCAUAAUAUAUCACAUGUAUUGUCAUUAUGAUGUAUUAAUGUAAUGCAUCAUCAGAGAGCUGUCAGAGUGAAGAUUUAUUACUCUAAAAUAAGUUAUGGUAAGACACUGGGGAAUGAGUUGACAGAAUUUUUUGUUUAUUUUUCUAAAUUAAGAACUUUCAGAGUAAGUUUGAAGAUCUCUUACCUUCAUGAAGUAAGUAGGGGUGGGAGGGUCACAGAAAGGAGGACUUGAAUCAAAAACACCAGAAGGACUCUGGAGGCCUCAUAAGAAUAAGAAUUUAAUAUUUUCUUUACCCAGAUAGUUUCCAAAAAGUAUAGUGUGCAAAGUUUAAGUGUACUGCUUAGAUGAGAGCUACAUUAAGCAGUCAAAUUCAUUUUAAUCAACCCAAAGUGGACUUUAUUGAUUUUUCCCUUUAAGGGAAACAGAGUCACCAAAGUAUAAAUCCUUGGGCUAAAAAAGGUCCGUUGGACUAAAACUGUUCCAAAAAUACUACAUAAGUCUAUGCACUUUGGCCAGGUGUGUCCAGUGGACUUAGAAAUGUGCUUUAAAUCCAGUGAAGUCAGUGAGAGUUUUUCAUUAGAUUUGCACAGGCUUUGGAUCAGGCUCCUUUGCUGCAUCAUGUGGUGAAGCCAUGAAACUUGGCACAUUUAUAGCAUUGUAACAUAAAGCCAUCUGUGUACAAGCACAAACUUUUCCUUAUUGCCAAAGUGCUUAAUGUAAUUACAAUCAGGCUUGCUUCUUCUCCGCUCGCUUCAUCCAUAUGCUGAGAUGUAUGCAAACUUGAACUGGUAAAGAAUCCCACAGCAUCUGAGUGUGCGUGCUGCUUACAGCAGUAUACAUUGCUAACCUUGUAAAUCUUAUGCCCUUCUCCAUUUCAAGGAACACACACACAGUUACAGACUGUCUUAUGAGGAAACGGUCUGGCAGCAGAAGUAUGCCGAACAGUUCAGUCUGGGUUCCUUUUUUGCUAACUACACGAGACACCUGAGUUAGGAGCCCAGUUGCCCUUACUCCUGAUGGGUAGUUAGAAAUGUCCCAGGGGGUGGAUGUCCACAAUAGGAAUUGCCUUCAGGAGGUAUCUUUCACACAUUGCUGGCUAGAGAGUGAGCGUAGUGCUGUUGUAUACCUUGUUCUCCAUCUAAAGGAGAUUAUAUUAAAUCCUCAGGGUGUCCCAGUCCAUAAGCAGCUGCAAAAUAGUUGUUUUAUCACACAGUUCACUCUGUGUUGACUUCAAAUAAUUCUAGUUGCAGUAACAUCCCGUGGCUUUUACUGCAUUGUUUACAUUUCAUGUAUCAUGAUAUUUGCAUGCGAUUUCUUCAAUUCUAAAUACAGUCUUGGUCAGUGGAAGCUAAAUACCAAAGUUGCUCACAGGUUAAUGAGUGCACUGUGCUUGCUGCUGACUGACCCUGUGGCCCAUAGGCAUGUAGUUAACAUUAUCAGUGGGGAUGGUGUAUUUGAAAUGGAUGUUAAGAAUAAAAAGAAACACAUGCAGUGGAUGCAUUUGAAGCAGGGAAUAAGACUGCAGAAGAAAACUUGUAGAAAGCAGAAGGUAGUCAUGCCAAAAAAGAUCUACGUUUUCUCUUACUGAAAAACAGCAAUGAUAAGCUGUUUAAUUUUGGCCAAUCUUAGAAAGACACUUCCAUUAAUUACCUAAAAGGCGGGUAUGAAAUGAGUGCCAAGGUUAUUUAAAUUGCCUCUACCUAAAGUGUGUUGUAAACUGUACUGCUAUCAGUCUAGGAAAAACCUCUCCUCCUCCAUAAAGUUCAGAACAGUUUAAUAAUGUAUGAUCACACAGAUACAUUGGCUCAAGCCAUGUUUUUUUUUUUUUAAGAUAUUAUCUGAAAUGGGUAUAUGAAGUUGCUUAUUAAGCACCUGAAUUUUGCAGAUGACAAAUGACACACAAAACUUUACUGGUUAUCCCGAAGGCUGAGUAGAUACAUGAUCAUGGUUUAAAAUGUACUACUGUCUGUAGGUAUUAUAUAGCCAUCUCAAAUAGAGCAGAGAUUUGCUUUUCUGAACCAGAAUGUAUGAAGGGCAUGAUUUCUUUUUGGUAAAAGUAGUCAAAAACGUUAUUAGUAUGUAUUUGUUGUGGUCAACUGACAUGUUUAGUAGAUGAUGGACCUGGUGUUCUGAAGCAUCAGGUGGGUGGGCUUGUUGGAUCAGCACAUGAAGCAUGGGAGCUUAGGGGAGAUUUGGGUUAGGAUCUAUAGUCUGAUGACAAUAGUUUAUUUCCUAAUGGCAUGGUGCUAAAAGAAAGGACUUCUGAUCUAUUCUGCAAGUGUUAACAGGCAAACAAGCCUUGGAGUUGAAUGUUUCUGUGGGAGGUUGUCACAGGUACUACAAAUUGGAAGGUUGAGUGCUUGAGUUAUAUAGUUAUGAGAGCUUUGCCCAAGCUCCUGUCCACUCUCUAUUUCUCAGUAGGGUUUUGCUUAAAUUUAGUAUCUGUGGUGGUUCAGACAGUCUUAGGUCAGUGAGUCUGAAAGGAGAUAAAAUGUCUUGGAAAGACCAUAUGAAAUCUAUCAUGACAAACCACUGAUAACUCCACAUCUUAUUAGCUUCAAUUAAGUAUUUCCAUGGGAAACCAUGGAACUGUUUAAAGUCAUGAUGACACAUACACACACUUUGUUCCAUCCAAAGAAAUAAUCUGUUUUCCAGAUUUCCAAAUAACCCAGUUAUUUUUUUUAUUGUUUUUCUUUUUUUCUUUCUUUUCCUCCUUUUAAAAGAAAUAAAUUAUAAGAAUUUAUCUUGGGCUUGCUACAGAUUUAAAAGGAGAAAAAAGGUUUCUUCUGUCCGACUUUUAAAUUAUAUGCAUGACUGGAGAUAAAUAUGUUUUUUAUUUAUAACUGUGGAGAGGUGCCAAACAAAGCCUUUCAUAUGACGCACUGCUGCUGCAACGGAGAAGUACUUAAAACAGUUCCAGUCAAGUUAGGCCCCAAGACUUUUCAUGCAACUUCAUUCAAAAUGGCUAAGAACUUUCAUUUAUUUUUCUUCCUUUCCUUUUGAACAUCUUCAAAGGUUGCAAGUGCAACACGCUUAGAGGAUGCCAGGCUUCUUCCUGCUGAGCUGAGACAGGCUGAAAACCACAUUGAAACAUGGGAAAUUGCAGCUACCACAGAUGGCAGAUGAGGAUUGUUUGCAGGCUCCCCUGGCCCUCCCCUCGAGGCUGGUUACAGUUGGAUGAGGGUUAUGGACAGGGGCUGGCAAAGCAAAGAGUCACUGUGCUGCUGGGAGACUGGGAUGAAUGGACUUUGACAAUACUGCUGAAUAGGAGUGCUUGUGGAACCGAUACAAACAAUCUGUAAUUGUCAGAGCUGAAAAGUAAAAACAUGAUUAUAAACUGCGCACAGGAUCAGCUUAUGUCAGCUUUAAAUGAUUUAAAAGUCUAGUGUCUGGAGCUGCAUCUCACUUGCCUGUAAAACUCCUUAAAGAAGACUUACAUAACCAUACAAGCAUGUCUCUCCCUUCUUGUGUGUUUAUUGUGAAAACUAACCCUUUGUCUAGCACUCAGAAAGCAGUUUUUAAGACAGAUAAAUCAGGAAACGGGUUUUCUUGAUUUAAAUGGAAGAGAUGCUUGCCUUGUCAGAGCAACUCUUUUAGAAAGCCCUGGUUAUCCCUGCUCUGUGCAGGAAGGGCUCUCAGCAGCCAGGUGCUGAUGCAGCCCCGGUCACCUGGUAGCUUCAGAACCUGGAUGGAUGUGACACAACUUCCUAAAAGCAGCAAGCUUCCCUGAGAAGAGAAGGAGCACAAGAAAGCCUCUUCUGUUACCUAGAGCCGACCGUCAUUACGCCUGACCCUAGCUCAUUACCCCUACAUGUCUGCAGCAGAUGGUGACCUUUGGUGGCACUGCACAACAGCAAGCAAGGAGAUGCCUUCCUUGUGAUUGUGGCUCCUGAAUGCCAAGCGCUGCAUCUUCUUCCCCACUCUGUGUCCAGCCUUCCUCUACACCAACACACCCACGGAAAUUAAAGUACUUCUGCGUACUACUAAGCAACACUAUUUAGGUAGUGGGCUACAUUUCCAAUUUUGCCACAAACGCCUUUAUCUUCCCAUCACCCAGCAGCGUGGAGUAGAAUGGAAGCAACUAAUUUACCAUGUAAUAAGAUAGGGUCCUGUUGACACAAGUCAAGGGCAAAACUAUUAAGUCAUUAGGGCUAAUGUUGUUACAUUCUGAUACAAAGGCACGCCCGGCCCUUUCAGAUGUACAUCUGACCUUUGAGGAUUAAGUUUCUUCACAGCUUAUUGUUAGUAGUGAAAAUGUCUUCCCCCCCCCUUCUGCUUCACACACAUUGAUCUUUGGCCCUGUGCUACAUACAGCUUGCAGAUCUGCUUCUGCAGUCCUGAUUUGCCCCAGUUUCAUCAGAAGUAAUAAUAGCAAAGGCGUCACGUCCUUAAUCCAGCAAUGCUGAGAAUACAUCACAUUGCUUUUCUUGACCCUUGGUCCAAGAGGUUGCAGGCAGAAUGGAGGAGAUAGAGGUGGCUCUCAGGAUUCUUGCAUAAAGUAAGAAAAGUGAGGACUGCUCAAAUCAAUCAGUCUAGAUGUCAUUUAAAGCUGUGUAAUAUGAACAUGUCUUGCUAUAGCCCUGUGUUAUUUUGGUAAAACAACUUUUUCUAAUCUAAUAGCUAAUUAGCCAGUUGACAGUUUCAACCAUUGUAUCCUCAACUUGUUCCACUGCCAUUGCACAGGCAAGGGAAAUGCAAGUGGACUCCAGAACUUGCCUUAUUGUCCUGGUUAAUAUCUCUCAGGAUUCAUUUUAUUCACGUCAACUUUGUAGACUUGUUUAGCUCUGAAAGUUUUGGCUGAAUGCUCUAUCUUUUGUGAGUCACUCUUUGAAAUAAAGAGAGAUGUUCUCACUUGGACUGCGGUUAGAUUGUAUCUCUGCUGCUCUGAAAGCUAAGUGUUCUCCAGGUGAAGUCAUGGAACAGGUUAUCUUGAUGUCCUUUGUAUGUGAUGAACCUUUUUUCACUUCCAAGACGAAUGAAGAAACCCUACCAAUGGACACCCCAAGCUGUUGUACAGAUAAUUUGUCUGAAACUUCUGACCAAAAUAUCACAUAUUCACAUGCUGUCAUUAUUUCACGAGGAAGGCUCAUUUUAUAUGAUGCUUUUGUCUGAGACUGUGUUAGAUUUCAUUUGCAAGUUGUUUAUUAUAAAGUUCAUCUUGGAAAAGCUGUGUGAUAGCUUUAUGGCUGGUUUUUAACAUGUGUAAGUAUUGUUUGCUCUGUGUUGUAAUACCACGAAGGCCAGUUUUCAAAAGUGCUCCAAAUACUUUGGAGUUUAUGCCCCUUUCACCUUAAAAAUGUGAGUGCAAUUAAAACUUCCAUGUCUGGCCUAUUAAAAAUAUGUCAUUCAGCUUCUCUGUUGUUGAGAAAGGGGAUGGGAGUGCAUGAGUAUUCUCUAAUGCAGCCACUUCUAAAAAUAUAUCUGAACCUAUCUAGGCAUAUCUUGCUUAUUUGUGCACCUUGUCCUUUUGAACUACUGGAAGGAGUUCACUCUCUGAAGGAAGAAUUGGCUGUUCUUAAAAGUACAGCUGGGAAGCAAGACAUCCAGUGAGCUUAUGGCAAGCUGUGGAAUGCUAUGUUUCAUGAAUUUCUCUUUUAAUUUAUUUUGUUGUUGUUCCAUGAUUUUAAGUACGAUGGUGAUGGGAAAGUGCUACAUUUCACAAAUUUCUGCUUUACUGUUUUGCAUUUUGAGGCUUUAAAUACAGUGUUGACCAGGGAAGGGAAGUUGCACCGAGAAAGAUUUUGCUCUUCAAACUGUACGUGCCAAGGUAGGUCUGGAACGGAUGCUCAUGGCUGAAUUAAUAAACUCUGACUGCAGAGGUUUAGAACAAGAAUUCUGACAGACCCUUCACAUGACAAUACUAGUGGGAGUCACGGUAAUAUCAUCUGCUGCUGAACAUUGCGAGCAUGUGAGUACCGUUGUGCCAAAGGUUAAUAUGCCAGUUUUAUUUCCUUCUCUCUACAGCUGUAAUUUAAACGAGUUGCACACAUAAGUGAUGUUAUAUGCAUAGGGGUUUGCAUUAAGUUUGCUAUGUCAGAUUUGUUUAUAAAAAUCAUAUUUUGAAACACUUGCCCAGGGGCUCCGUUCUGGGGAGCUGCAAGCUGAUUCCUUUUAAAGAGGCAGCUUUCAUUUUCCAUGAAUUUUCAAUAGAGAUUUUGGAGCUCUGAGCAGGGAGCUCUGUUUUAAAAUUAGCACUUGCCCAGGUUUACAAUUGGGUUUAAUUACGAAGCAAGAGGGAGCUUAAUCUUGUUUUACGUGUGUGCCGCGUGACCCUUCCCAUACCUUACAGGGAUUGGAAGGGCCCCCUGCCUCUCUUGGGGAAAAUUGCUUCCCAACAUUUUGGAGACCAUUUACAAUGUUUUUGUUCCUAUGCAGCAAUGUUAACAUUGCCCAUAAACCUAAUAGUCACACAGUAGUUAAUAAGCGGCAGAAAGUUUUAUAGUCUUUUCCGCAGUUGUUAAAAGCCUGCUACUGUAAUUUGGUCCUGACCAUGCAAAGCACAUUGGUUGUUGUGAAAAAUAAGAGGCCCUAUUUUGGUGUAUUCCUGGAAACCAAUGGAAAGGAGAACCUCUCCUUAGCAUCGUGCUGAAUGUAAUGAAUUUGAGGAUUAUUGGAAUUGCUUGGUUUGUAAUAUAAACACUCGAGGGCUUGCCAGCAGUGUACCUUCAGGAUGUAUGGCUAUUCUAGAAAAAGAAAAUCAUUUUUUAUUUCUGUUAAGAACCCAUUGUAAUUAGUGGCACUAUCUGGCAAUGGAUGGUUUAUCAAAUUGCCUUUCAGUUACAGGAAAUAGGAUCCAUUAAUGAUCUUGCAAGCAUAUUUUUAGUCAGACUCAGCAAGAAUCAUUUUCUAGCUGUCCUUCUAUGUUAUGUAAACUAAGAGCAUUUCCAAGGUCUCAGCUGCACUGCCCUGUGUGCCAUUCAGAACAGUUUUUACCUUCUCCAGCUAGAAGUGACCACACUAGUGGAAAUAAGGUACUUCUCAAGGUAAGAUUUCUAGAAUCAAACUUGUACUGAAGGCAUCUCAAAUGCAGUUAUGUUUGGACUCUGGGUAUACAGUUCCUCAACACAUCAGCAGGAUGUAGGAGAGCUUGGAGGUGGGACAAAGUGGUGGCUGAAGGAUUGGCAGGCAAGACCCAAUUUGAAGAGGAACUGUUCUUUACAAAUUUCUCCAAGGGAAGUUUCCACAACUCAGCCUCUGCUAAUAGCAGAUCAGUUUCUAAUUAAGGAUAUUUAUCUCAGAAGGUACCUGUUCUAGUUGUACAAUCUCUAUACAAGUUGUAACUUGUAUAGAGAUUAUUACACAGCAGUGAAGAGUGGUAGGGGAAAGGAGUAAGGAAAAGAUCAUUUGCUUCUAAAUCAGAAUAUUAUGAACAUCACAAGCUCUCAAAUGCAACUAUAUUACAUGCUAUCUGAAAGGGCAGGGUUCUAAUUAUUUGGCUGGUAUAAGUCUGCUGCAGUGCUUAAGAUGCCGUGGUUUCCUUUGGAUGCAAUCUUACACCUGUGUUGCCUGGGAUUACAGUGAUAUGUUUUGAGCCAUCUGUAACGUUUCUAAAAUGCCUUUUUGCCUCAGAUUAACAGUGAGUACUUUGAGUACAUGAAGUACAGUACAAUGAGUACAUAAACCUUUACAUUGUUCUCCCUUGCCCUAUCUGAGGAGGGGGCUGUGGGCUGCAGUGAAUGAGCUUGGUUGGGUUUUGCACCCUCUGAAGAUUGAGUUAUUGGCUCAGUGCUGAAUUUAAUGGGAGUUUUGAAUGCACUGAAUGGAUAACUUAGCCAUGACAGAAGUAAAGGGUGUGCUGUGUUUAUGGUGGGUGGGCACUUCAAUGAGAAAUCUCCAUGAAAACAGACAAAGCUCCACACUUACUCUCAUGUGCAUUGGGACCCAAAUUCAACACAAUGACAUUGCCACCAUGCUACAAUAGAAGUUUAAAAAGGAAAUGAUAUUAUUUGCUCAGUAAUUUCUGACCCAUUGCAUGAUUACACUACUGGACUCAUUCUGAAACACAUAUAUGGGAGUACCCUCGUAAUUAAAUGUCUAAAAAUACACCACUGCCAUUUCUGGGUUGGUUUCUGAAGAGUGGUUGCAUAAAACUUUAUUGAGAUACUUAAUGCACUGUGCUGUGCUCUCUUUGGGCUGAACUGUUACUGGGAAAAAUGAAUUCAGCCUUGCAAUGGUUGCAGUGCCUUCCAGCUCCAGCACACUGAGUUCUCUGCACAGUGUAUCAAAAAUUCCCAUAUCUGGCAGGCUUGAUGCUGACAGGGUGGGAAGUGGAAGCAGCUCCCUGUGACUGACCCUUCCCACAGUGCCUGGCUUCCUUGCAUCUCAAGGCUCAGCGCACCUGGUCUGCUGCCAGAUGUUUUCUGCUUUCCUAUGGGGGUAAGAUAGAAAAUCCCGUGUCAUCCUGAACAAGGUAUGGAGGGGGGGGAUGGAGAGGGAGCUCCUUCCACAAGAUGCUCCUGGGACUCAGUGCAACCCUUUGGCUUAGGUUCGCCCCCAAGGUACGGUCUGGCUCAGCACACUAGCUCCUGUCAAGAAGUCAAACAUUGCUCUGGAAAACAAAGUUGUCUUCAUGCGGACGAAGAUGCUAUUUAAUGCGAUGCUGUUUAACUGGGCACUGUGCAUGGAAACUGGAGCUCUGCUGUUAGCUCCAUUUCACAGGCAAGGAAUCUGUAUCUAAAUGAUACCUCAAAACUGUGGCAAAGCUGGGAAUAGAAUCCAAGUUUAAUUCCAUAGAUACUCAGCUUUCUGGGCUUUGAACAGAGCUGUCAUACUACAAGGAAGUACUUCAGCAUCCUUUUCAUUUGAAGAUGUUUCCAAACAUUUUUCCUUAUCUUUUGCCUCUCAAAAGUGUUGUUUCACAUUCAUGUUCCAUUUGCAUCAAGUUUCUUUCCUUUUCUCAGCUGCAGUCAUUAACAGCUGGUGAGUAAAUUAAUUAUGGGUAAAAAGUAUAGUUAAGUGAACAUUUCUGUUCUUUUGACUGGGGGAAAAUGCUCCAAGAAAAAUGCACUGAUGUUUUCAAACCAUAGUGGGGUUGUGUUUGGGGUGCUUUUUUCCUGUAUACCGAGCUGGCUGAUGAGCCUCAGCACUCUUGAUUUAGACCAAGGGUUAGACUCCUCAAAAGGCAGACUGAGACCCUUCUUAAUUUCUCCAUUACUUAGGAAGUACCCUUAGUUCAGGCAGCAGUCAGGGAAGGCUGUUGGGAGAACUACAUUGCAGGUGACACUUUGGAAUUGCAGUUCUUAGGCAUUUAUCAACCGCUAUAUUUUCAGCUUGAAGGUACCAAUGUUUUUCUGUGGUGUAGUAAAUUACUGAAUGUUUACAUGCAAUUAGGUGUGUGCCUAUGGAGAAGAAGACACCGGGAAACAGGAUUUUCCUGAGGUAGUUGCUAGUUCAGAGGCCCAGUGCCACUGCAGUAGCUGUUGUCAGGAAGGACUGAGUGGCAGUUCUAAUUACCAGUGUCUACACAGGUUUCUCAUAGGAAGAUACAAGCUGUCACGAUCCCUUGCCAAUCACAUGAGAACUGACCUAGGGAGAACAUCAACCGAAGACAGGAAAUGAGCAUUCCUGCAUGAGUAGGAAGUGCAGGCAACUUGAACUCACAAGAAAGACGUCAUAAAGUGUACUACUCUCUAUAAAAAGGGGAAGACUUGUGGAAAAGACACCAUUUUUGUGGUUGGCUCAGUGAAAGCUAGAAAGCAAAUCUCUUCACACUCCUGGAGAGAGAAGCCCCAGGUUGUGUCCAGACUUGAAAACUAAGAGUUAGAAAGUCCCAUAGCCUGUCUGAGCUUUACACUGGGAGGAAAAUGAGCUGCCUGAGCAGAGGAUGAAUGUUGUCUUGGGUCACCAUCAAGAUCUUGACCUGCCUAACUGAUGUGACUCAGGGAAAAAGGCUGCUGGCAUUUCUGGUGCUAUUCCCUUUUCCCAUUCUCAGCAUGCACGGAGCCAUUCCCAGCCAGUUGGAGCUCUUCCACAAGAUGGUGCUGAGCCCCAUCGCUCACAAGUGGUGCGUAAUUGAAACACAGCACACAUCCUCCCGGGGAAGGAAGAGGUCUGUUUAUUUGCCCUCCUGGAAAAAGAGAAUGUAUUUCAAGACGUCAAAAUAUUUUGUUUGCCUUCAUUCAAUUGCAAGAGAAGCCUUAGGUGAGGUAAGAAAAUGUGCAUUUAUCACAUUUUGAUGUGGUGUAUACAACUAUGUAUUUGUAUAUGUUUCAUACUCCCAAACUGAAGGAGUGCUGAGAGUGCCAGACAACAAGGUCUGGAAAAUUAGCAAAGGUCAGGAUUAAAAUUGACACCUUAUGAAUCGUUAUGGACUGCAGGAGCACGUGGGCUGCUCACUGGGGGUGUCAAGCCCUCAGUUUCACAGAAGCACUGCUUUUUGCCCAAGGCAUGGAGUAUCUGGCAACAGUGGGUGCCUGUUGGCUUCUUCCUAUCAGUCACUGUAGGUGGAUAUGAAGGGUUUUUCUGCAUGACUUCUAGAGGCACAGCUCAAGAGUUGUUGUCCAUAGGGGAACAAGGGCUCCAAGUUGCCAUUCCUCACAAUUGGUGCAUCCUGGUUUGGCUGAGGAUCCCACGAGGUCCUGGUGAACAGCCUGACCUGUGCUGCACACCUCCUGGCUCAUUCCAUGUGGGUAUGCAGAAGCUGCCUUCUCACACCCUGCUCCUGCUGGUCAUCAAGUGCAGGUGGAUGGGGAGUGUUGAGCUUUAGACAUGGGUUAGUGACAAGGAGUCUGUAAAUCAUUGGAUCAGCCAUACAUCCAAAUGGUUCUUCGAGUACAGUAACUCCACAGGAUCAGUUCCCUUCUAACAUGAUCUUUUAUGUUUUUAACUUGCAGGAACACAAAAGGUGACUACUGCAUGUUCUGAACAAAUAGGUAAAACCAAAGGGGAAAACAGCUGUUGUUUUUAUGGUUCUUUUUUUCUAUAAAAAGGGGUUUUCCAUGUCUGACGGUUACAUGUUGAACUCUCUUUAUUUGGCCCCUCCCAUUUUCAGGUCACCACAGGAAUAUGUAAAAAGGAAAUGUUUUAUUUUAACAGAGUUGAACAAAGUACACGAAACACACCCUUCCCAUUGCCUAACAUUCCUCAAGUUAAAUUGCAGAGCCCAGCAUAACUUUUCCUCUUGGUCUUUUAUUUCAUUGAAAAGGGCCCAAAAUGUAAUAUUCAUGCAGGAAGCAUAAAUUGUAUUGCUGGAAGCAAUAGCAACCUCGAAGCAAAAUCCCUCAGGAUCGCUGUGCUCAGGAGUGUGCAGGCUGCUCCUGGCCCAACAAGUUUCCUCAGUGCCGUGCUUGUGGCUUUGCACAGCCUAAGCUAUAGGAUUUCUUUGCAGCAUGGUUUUCUUGACAUUUUGGCCCUUGUGGACAGUCCUUGGCCUCAGGAGUAGCUGCUAGCCUCUUGCCCAACCAUCCCACUCUGGGCCACUCUUCUUCCCUUUCAGUAUGCAUGAGUAACUCCCACGAAUGUAAAUAAAAGUUAUGUGCACGCAUCAAGGGGAAAUGGAUCCAUUUGUCAUGGCUCCAGACAAGCAGCAUCUCCCCAAGGAGCUACUUACGAGGCUAUUGAGAAGCCAGCAGCAACGCGUGAUAGGCUGCACCUUCUUCCAUGUGUGUUGCAGAAAUUAUUGGCAUGUUGCUGAUGUUUACGGCGAACAAAUAGUUUAUUUCUGGGCUAAGAAAGAUUUCAAUGUAAAUACUCAACUGGCAGCUAGCUGGAAGUUUGCCACUUGAAGUUAAAAGGCCCAUGACCAAUGGUGUCAGAUUAACAUUUCCAAGUUGGACAAUGUACAAAUGGUGUUCUUGGACUGGAAUAGAAAUAGAUGAAAGUGGUCUGCUGCAGUGCAAAUAACAAACUGGCAACCAGCUGGUCAUUGGAAAGAGAACAUACUAUGGGAAUAUGCUUUCUGCAGAAAUACUUUAUUUUGGAGAUAAGCAUUAACAAUAGGAAGAUGAGGCUCAUUUAACAAGAACCAUAUGGUCUCAUCCUGCUUUUAUUUCACUCAGUAGCAAAGCUCUGAUGAUCUUUUGUGUGUGCAAGAUAGGGGUUGCUGUUAAUAAAUAAGCAAAACAGAUUCAAGCUAGUCGUUUGGAAUUAAAAAGAAACAGUAAUGCUUGAUCUACUGUUGCCUUUUAAAAGGUAUGAAGGGGAUAGUUUUAAUCCACAAAAUGCUAUUUCAGGAGACCGUAACUGAAAGGAAGUGGAAUUAAAGGUGUUUGUUGGAAAACAACUUCUGAUAAAGUAAGACUAAGAUCCACUCAAGACUGAGUUAUGAACCAGUGUGAAACCAAUACAGAAAUUUCUCCAAGCUAAUUUGUGGCUGGGUUCAUUCCAUAAAAAAGUUUGUAUUUUUCAGGAGAGACGACAACACCCCUUUUUAAAGCAGUUUUAACUACACCAUUUAUUCUACUAGCAACUUAAUCAGAGGUAACAGCAUUUCACACUCUUGUUUCAGCGUAAUAGCAAAAGUGAAUGAUGCAAAAAGAAAAAGUCAUCUGUGGGAACUGCACUGGAAAAUCCUGCUUUGGGAACUUUUCAAGGAUGUAAAACAUUGUCUAGAGUUUUUUACUUUUAUGGGUAGGAAGUAAAAAAGAAGCAAAGAGAGGAAAUCUCAUUCUUACAACAAUUGGAAAGUUGCAGUAAAAAUGAUAAAACUCAUCACUGCAAAAUAAUUUUUAUUUCAUUUUAUUUUAUUUUUUACAGUGGCUAAACUUUGUUAUUUUGGUUGCAAGAAGACAGCAAGAUGGAAGCUUCAUUUAUUGUAAAAAAUAAAAUUAAGAUUUGAACAUGGAAAAAAUGUGCAGAUCUUGUACUCGGCAGCUCACUUCUGCCUUUGGAGACAAGUACUAAUCCCAUUGAUUUUCAUAUGCUUGAAGACAGCUCAGCAAUAUCAAAAUUGCAUUAUAUUACAUAUUUAGAUAGGUAGCAGAAAUGCUGAGUCAUGGCCUGAAGCAGUGAUUGAGCACCUGGUGGGAAGGCAGGGCCAACCCAGGGAAGCUCAGGUGUAUGCAAUGUACCUGAAUGACCAGAAGGUUUGGAGCCAGAAUUCACCCCUUCCCAGACCUCAUUUAAGGGUUGGCAGUGGAGGUAAGGGGGUUUUGUUGGUGAUCCCUGUAUACUUGAGGUCUUCUGAAGCUUUCUUUUUCUGAUACUAAAUUAAUCAGACAGACUCAACCUAGAUUCAGUGGAUGCUGUGAAUGUACAUUUCUGGUAAGGAAAGAAUUGCUCCUGAGAAUAUUCCACCUAUUUCAGUCAGGUACAUCCUUCCUAGGACCGUGUAAUGGGCUGAUCUUUGCUCCUAUAGAACAUGUUCUUACUGCUUUGACAUCUUUUUUUUUGUCUUCAAAGUAGAUGCUUUCUGACAUGUAUCUCUUAUGUAGUAAAGCAUCAGUGUUGAUUGGAGCUUAGAAGUAGUGCUCUGAUUUACAAAGAGCAAUAUCCAUGAGUAUUAAUUAAAUGGAUGUUCACUGCCAGCAAAGGGACACUAAUUCCCAUGGACUGCUCUUGCAGAUUUGGAGUCUCCAGUAUCUUCUGAGGCCACGUCACAACCACCUACAUGACAGGAGACCACCAGGGCCUUGCCUUGCUUCACUUUCUCCAUGGGAUGGGAACACCUUUCCAGAUUAUUCCAAUGGGCCAAUGGCUUUAAAGGCUUCUAUAGGCACAGCUAGCCCCUAUAGCCCUAAGAAACCCAGAUAAAAGUAACAUUGCCAUCCAGAAUAACUUAUUUUCCAGCUGGUUUUCCCCUCCCAGCUGCUUGCCCAGAUGGCAGGCUAAAUUCAGCACCUUCUUGCUGCUCCAAAAGCAAAGGGCAUUACUGAACCACCCCAUUUUUAUGCUGUGAUCAGUGCAUCUAGGAUGGAGGACGUGCCACGUGGACACAUUUUAAAUUGCAAUUGUGAAAUGCAGUAGUACAUAUAUAUUUAUUUGUCUGUUUAUUUUUUUUAAGUGAAAGAGCAAUGACCCCAUUUAGCUCAAGAAUGAUGCAUUCUUGGAAAGUGAAAUAUAUUUGGUAGUAAUGACGGUAGGGGAAAAUAUCUCUUUCAUAAGAAAACCUGAUAUGUAAACACACAGUGCAGCUUAGGGCACGUCUUCGUUUCACACAUGAGAAGUUCACGCAAGUGAAGAAAAUUUUGAGUUUUUUUUUCCUACCCCCAAAGAAACAUAAUCCAGAGUUUAUAUCAGAUGGUUUAUGGGAGUUUAUUGGAAUAUCCAACAGGGUUCAUGUAGUGUGUCAUAAGGUAAAGCCUGUUCGUUGGUGAUUUACAAGCAGUGUGUGCCGGUGUUACUGUAAUUUAUAGACCACAGAUGGUCAGGGGGUGCCCCUGCUGACUUGGAGCUGAAUAAGAAGCUGAGCCCUGUGUGUCAUCUGCUGCGGGUACCUCCGGCUCACUUCCCCAAAUUAGCCCUGGUGGGGAUCUGCAUCCCGACUUGGAGGGUCCCAAGCCCUCUGCGAUGCAAGCUGAGGUUGCUCUGGGAAGAGAGGGACAGCAAAUGUUUAAAGGAGAGGGGAACAGAGCAAAAAACUGAGAACAUUUGAACAGCACUGGAGGAAAAGUGCUUUUUACGAUAACAGCCUCCCUUCUCAAGGUUGGUACUUCUUGAUGGGCUUUUGUCACUUGUUAAAUGGAGAAGGGGGGAAACGUCAACCCCCCCUCCCUUCCUAAUUUGUUCUAACACAAACAUCUCCUCCACCAAAAUUUAUAUAUAUUCAUAAAUCUCCCUUGUAACAGCCUCUAAGAUAGAUCCUAUCUUUGUUCCCGUCACUUUACCCUUUUAGGUAAUUGCUUGUUAAUGGCAUCCUGCAUUUUCAUAAGACUUACUCACACCAAGUUUACCCAAGCCUUUGCUUCUUUAAACCUCAUUAAAUAAUUGCCUCGUUACCACGGCACCUCGUACUGCUCACAUGGGGACCCACUGCUCGCAGAGGAUCAUGUUUUGUCAAAGCAGCUCUGAGCUGGGAGGAAAGUUUGGGGUUCUUUCUGUGCUUGACACCUGUUGCCAAAUGCAGUGAGAAAUGCCUCCAUGUAAACACACAUCCGAGCUCACAACCAAGUGGGUGAAUUCUUUCUUCUCUCCCAGAGAUCAAAGGUGUAGGAGAAUUUUGUGGCUUCUCUAGUUAAUAAACAGGAAAAAAAAAGAACGUUUUCUUUUCUUUAUCCAGAGGAUUAAAAAAAAACACCCUAUAGACAAAAGGACCAGAAGGAGAGCUGUAAUGGAAAUAAAAUUGACAGCCUCUCAAAACUCAGGUGGCAUUUUCCUUUUCCAGUUAAUUACAGUUUUAAUUACACGGCUUCUUGUGACUCCUUGAUACCUAAUAAACUAGACUCUGUGGGGCGGCAAAGUUGAGUUUUGCUUGAACUGCAGGUGUAAGGCUCAGCAUGAAGCAUAAAUCAACUUCUUAAACAUGUUCCCAGGGUGUGUUCAGGCUUUUUCUUCCUAUUUGCUUGUAAAAAAUCACAUCUUUUCACCAUCGCUGGUUAAAAAAAAAUGUGAUUGGAGCCACAGUACCUCAAGUAUUAGCUUUGUGUCUUGGGUUGAAGAAAUCCCCUUCCAGUAGGGGAAAAAAAAAAGGAUUGAGUUUUUUGGACUUCAGCCUGAUGGCUUUUAAAGGAGUGGUACAUUACCUGCCUUGCUUCUUUCAUUAUCCUUUCUUUCAUAUUUAAGAUAGAAAGGGGAAAUAUGCAAAGAAUAUGAAAGCAAGGGGAGAUUGGGCUGUGGAAAAUAAGGGCUGUUCAUCCCACAGACACCACAGUUUGGAUUUGCCCUUUGUGUGCUGCCCUGUGGGUUGCUGCAGCCAAAAGGUGCGGAUAGUCAUGGUCCUCACACUCCACGAGACUCAGCUGUGGUGAUGCUGAAAGCAGAGGUACUGGAGACAUGGCGCUGUAAUGUCACCUGCCCCGUGCUGGUGUCACUGCCCCAUGGAUUUCUCUGCCAGCCCCAGUCUUUGGGAUCCUGGAGCCACAGAGCACUGAGGCUUUGCAGCCCAAAACAUGAAGCCAUAGCAGGCACGUCCCGGCCAGGCAGCCCAGCAGCCUAAAUACCAGCCUCAGCUCUCAGAACUAAAUGGGGAUGCCAAAAAGGCCAAAACCCUGCCACCAAUCCAGAGGGGAAAAAGAAGAAAUCUUCCGCCCUGCCAACCAAAUGUCUCACCAUCUUUUUCAAUUAGUCUUGGUUGUAUUUUUGUAAGCACACAGACAGGCAAUUACAGAGUUUCAUUUUUUCCAGAGUGGGAAAGGCAGGGCAGAGCUAAGGGAGUAAGGGAAAGGAGGAGGAGCAGGAGUUUAAAAGACACGAAAGCCCCAGACAUGAGUGUCUUUCAUUCUAGCAGUCCAUGAGGCAUGGAGAGCAAGAACAAAGAAAAGAAAAAAUUAAAUAUCUAAAAUAUUUUGGUUCACAACAAUGAAAUGAAGCAAAACUUCCCAGCUGAAUUGGAGUACGCGUUCUGUGUGCUCUGUAGUGUUUUCUGUGAAAGCUUACUGGCCAGCAGACUAAAACCGGUGUGGGUACCAGGGUGAGGGCUCUGGUUUCUCCAUGAGUUGAGCUGCCUACCCCUAGCACCAAAAUCUUGUGCUGCUCAGGCACUGGCAACGUGGCCUGAAGAUUUGCAAUGCAGCUACAGCAUGGAAAGUGCUGGAAAGCUGCAUUUAGUAAUGGUAGAACAGAGUGCACGAGGGAGCAUUCACCACAGAGUGAUCCUAUUGGGAAGGCUGCCUGGAAGAGGUUUGCCUUCCAAACUGAUCACCAGUGCUGAGAACCCCGUGUACAUCUGCACAGGUACGUGCAGUGCACAGCGUGGAGAAGCAACAGUAGUGUGCAACAGAGGCUCAGGAGAUCCAAAAGGCAUCAAAUAAAAUGGCUGAGGGAAAAAUAUAUGCUGUCCCAGAGUUUGGGGAAGACUCAGUGGUUCGUGAACCACCUCAGGGACAUGUGACAGCAAUGGCAAAGGCUCUGAAAGAUGGACAUGUGCCCAGCCAAGGAGCACAAUGGGAAGAUCUGUUGCCUUUGGGGCUCUAUUACUUCCUGGUUCAGCUAGCCCAUCUAAUCAGCUUGGCUUGUUUUUAAGCUGGACUCUCUCAAACUCAGCCCAAGCUCACCUGAGCAAUCCUAGUUUUCUAACUUUUAGGGGGAAUGUGAGUUUUGAUUUACUGGAUCGCUAUGGCAAGCGCAAUGUAAUAAAAACCUGACCUGUCUGAUAUGUAUGGGCUACUGUAUUAUAAAUAUUUAAUAAGUUGUAUGGAAAGAAAAGAACUAUAGGGGUUACAGGAAUCAUAUUAAAGCAACUAAGUAAAUACAAAGAAGGUUAAAGUGUCUAACUCUAUAUGCUUUAAAGGCUAAAGCAAACCAGAUCUCUUUCUAGAUUCUUUUUCCAUGUACAGCGGUAACUGGGCAGCAUAAAAAUAAGGCAAGUAUUUAAAGACAAAAAAAAAAAAAAGAGAAAGAUCUAAGGCAUUUGUUUGGCAUUGAUAGCAAUUUCAAAAAAGCCCUGGAACAUUUAAAGAGAAUUAGAAAGGAUUUGGCUGGAAUCAGAGGGGGAAGCACUUUCCAUGGCUGGGUGCGUGUUUGGGUAUCUACAAACUGCCUACAUCUGAACGAGCAGAACGGCCUUGAUCAUCCAGGGUUUUAAAACCAGAAGAAAAAGGCUUUCCUGUUUUUGCUCUUUUUUUCUUAUUCACACAUAUCCAGAUUUUCAUUCUUCUGCCUGCUUGAUGGUGAAGUAACAUUUAUUUUGGCACGGAGCUUGUGGAGUACUUGGAAGGGCCCACUGGGGCAAGCAGAUACGGUGCACCCGCUGGGGCGAGCAAACCUGCUCUACCUUGGGAAUCACUCCAGGGGGAUUUUUGUUUGGUUGCUUUCUUUUCCAUGCUAUGUUGUUUCCAUGUUGUUUGCAGAAAGGCAAAAACAAGCAGGCAUUGCAUGUGUUCCUUUCUUCCUGCUGUCUCUUUGGGGAAGAAGCCGACAGGAGCUUUUCCUUGCCAUUUGAUGGGAGCAUGAAGAAAUCUUGAGCUGGUUUUAGGUCAGGGAGUGUAUUUCCUUACAGGUUCCUCUAGUGAUGGUUAUGGUUGUGGGACCCCCGAGCCUAUCUCUGAAUCAUAACACGAAUUCCUGCUGUGACCCAUGGAAAAGGCAAUGAUCCUGCAGGGGCUCUUUUACUGAGAGGAGCUUUCUGCACACCCCUAUGCUGGCCAACUGCAACCAGUGCAAAGAGGGCUGGAUUCGCCUAUCCAAACGCACACCUUUUUCACUGAUGACCUUUUUUUUUUUCCUUCUUGCAGUAUUUUCUCUGCUGCAGCUAUCAUCCUAAAUAACAUCAGCCCACCAGUGACAGAGGCUUUACAGUGCAAUGGAGAACUAUUUUGAAGGUACAAAUCACUUGACCUAAAGAAUCUCCCUGGAGUGUCAGUGCUAUGCACUACAUUUUUGCUCUGCUGAAGCCUUUAUUUAGCACAUGCUAAAGAACAUUUAACAUUUAAAGAUCCCCUCUGCACAUCCUCCAAAUGUCUCCAUCCUUUGCUCCUAGAUUAAUAUGUCUUCUGUGAAAAUGAGAUAAUUGAUUGCAGAGCCAUAUUAUUUACAAAUGAAGUGUUGUUCUUGUAUUGACCUUUCGUUUCUAUAGCUCAAUACUAGUUCUUGUACAGCAUUUGUAAUUAGUGAGAUAGUAACAGAAUUAGAAGAAACACAGGGAAAAAAAGGAGCUCCUGUGGAUGCUUUUAAUGAAAGGAAACUUCAGGAUAAGUUGCCCUUUUAAAGCUGCAAAACUUCACAUAACCAGCACUAAUGAAGUCUGUGGCUUGAAUAAGCACAGAACAGCAAAGCUCCCCAGACCAAUGCAGAUGGAGCAGGGGUGCUGCCAGCAGACAUACUCACUCAUGAGAGUCACUCCCAGGCUUGAAAAAAGGUGAGAUUUGGGGAAUAAACUGAAACUUACCCUUCUGUGGGUCUGCUGUAGUUCCCAUGUAAAUGCCAUGGUCUGUUCUUGGUGGCAAAGAUGUUAGUUAUUAGCCUUAUGGCUACAAAGGAACUACUGCGAUUGCAGAAGUGGUUUUCCUAUAUGUAUCUAUUAAAGCAACACGAAUGUCAGUGAAAGUCUGAAGAAAAAUACUACGCUUGAACAUGGUCACAAAGGAAAAAAAAUAGGAGUAAAUAUUAGAAGGAAGGCUGUAGGGGUCCUUUCAGCAUCCUAUGGAUGCAGACAGACAGGACACAUCACUCUUCAGAGGGUCUCUUUCAGGGAUGACUCUUGUCCCAGUGACAUGGCCUCACAUGAAAUGCCCACUGAACCUACAAAGAGGAAAAUAAUAAUAAUAACCUUCAGUGCUCUUUAGGGAAUUCAAAUGUGCUGCUUUGCUGGCAGCAUUGUUUGCUGCACCUACUGCAACCACAUUAUCUCCAUUUGCCAUUUUCUUGCCAGAGGGGCAGUCCCAUUCCCCUCUAUGCAUCCUCUGGCCCUACAGAAAUGCCAGCAGUGAUGCUCCACUCCUACUGAGCACUCAUUCCUAUUAAAUGACACUGCAAGGAACAAAAUUUCAGUACAGCUGAAGGAGGUGGCAGCAAGCUCCAUGCUCCCAAUGCCCUCAUCUCACAGCAUGGAAAAGCCCCUACAUGCCCCUGGCCAGCCCAGAGGACCAGGUUGUAUCCUUCUGCACACAUUCAGUCCAACCAGGACCAGGAUCCAGGGGAGAGCUGCCCCUGUACAACGUCCCCAUACACGUUUCCCAGUGUCCUAGGGUGCACGGACCCUCAGCAGUGGGGCUGGUGGGAGCACACCGACUACCUGGGAUCUUAUAAAUCUUUCAGCUAUCAGUCUUUCAGAGCUCCAAAUGCAAAAUCCAGCAGCCCGGGAUAUCAUGUGGAUUUAUGACCUGGGAUUUAUGAACUGGUCUGGAUAAAAUAAGAACUGACUUGGCUUUUUUUUUUUUUUUAAGGUUUGAAGAGAAGAAGUAAUAAAAAAUAAAGUCAUGAUUUUUUUCCCCCCUUUCAAAGCCUGUUUACAGAAACUUGUGUGCAUGUGGAUGUAUAUAUUCAAAUAUUUUGACUGUUCUUACCUGCAUGUUUCCUGCUUCUGGCUGAGGCCGAUCUCCCAGGGCUGCCUGCUUGGUGGGGCAGCAGGAAUCGGCACAAAUUGCCCCAAAAUCACGGUCUUGAGCCAUUCCCUGCCUGCUUCUGAGCUGGGAGAUGUGCUGGUAUGUGCUCUGUGAUUUCUGAACGCUUGCAAGCAGUGGGAUGGCUCCCUAAAGUGACACUGCUGCUGCUCUCACCCUGACACUUCCUUUCAUCCUUUUUUUCCUGAGAUAAUUUUGCAGUCCUUGUUCUUUUUCAUUGGUGGCAAGCUGUGUAUUUUGGGGUGGAAUCUAGAGUUGUGCGCAUGGUUUUGCUUACACGUAUGUGUAUCUGUGCAUCUUAAUAUGUGCACUUAUUCAUCCAUCAAUAAGCAUUGUUGGAUAUAUAAGCAUAUGCGUAUGUGCACAAUAUGCAUGUAAUUAUGUGUAUGUACAUUCACAUCUAUGUAUCUAUAGCUGCAUGCCUGUAUAACAGUGCACACAGACGUUUAUGAGCAUUAUGAAUGGUUGGUGUAUUAAGCCUUUGAUUAGAAACCAAUACAAACUAUCACUUUUUAUUACUACUCCCCAACUGUAUGUACUUUGCAUGAGCUUUUACAAGCCCAUCUCGAAGGACUUUCUCUCCUUAUCUGUAUUUCAUGGCCUUCAUUUCGAUUUGUCUUAUCUUAAAAACAACAACAAAAAAGCAAAUAUGGUAUUUACCUCGGUCAAGAGGAAAACUGCCAGACAGAUUUUUAUUGUCUCCUGCUCGACCCUUUUGCGCCUCUGCCCACAAUUUCUGGGUGAUUAUUUUUCAGCAGUUCUCAAGCUCACUCUCCAUGUUACAGCUAAGGGUUACUUCUUGGGGGAAAAAAAAAAGAAAAUAAAGGAAAAAAAGAAUACAUUUAUAUGUAUGGAUAUAUUUAGCCCAGGUUUUCAGUCUACCACCUUCUCUGGGUGCAGAGUUGUCCACAGAUCAUCACAGCCACACUGUGCACGCACCUUCACCCAGCAUCACAGAAACUUUUGUGUGUACCCAUCAACUCAUCUAGAAGCCAUAGGAUGCUGUUUGCCCUCUGCAUAUAACCUCUUCAUGCUGUUGGUUGUUCCCUAAGGCUCCUGCCAGCCCCUUCAGAAGGAAAGGGGUGGGGAGAAAUGGCCAAGGAGAGCUCCUGGUGCUGCCCCUGCUGCACGGAGGAUGUGACACAACCACGAAGUCACUGAGAUGAUGGUCCGGAGCAGCUGCAUUUUGCUCUGCACAAGAAAAUCCACCUUCAUACCAUCUCUGAUAUCUGGGUGAGCUCAGGUGAAGCCACUUGUCCGAGCCAAAGAGCUCAAGCCAAGCAAUCAAGUAGCCAAACAACAGAAUAACCAUAGGCACUGGAGCAUAGCCUGGAAUUGCAACGGUCUCAGCUGAGAACAUGUCAUCAGGAUGGAAGGAGCCAGGAAGGGCUUGGCGGCCAACAUAGGCUCUUCGGAGCAGAGCAAAGCAGGGUUUCAGUGGCCCAUUGUUGGUGGCAGUCUGGCUUGCUUUGCUGGAGCAGCCACUGUGGGGUGAAGCAAGAAGUUGCACUUUGUUUUUAAUUAGCAGACAUUUAAAGUGUUUUUCAGCAUGACUCAUGUCCCAGGAAUAAUUGAAUUCGGAGAUUUUGUUUUCGAUGCAAUCAAAGAGUCCACACCACAUCAGAGAAGUAGAUAGAACCGUUGCUUAAACUAUCUGUAUGUUAUUUGCCAGGUACGUGCAGGCAGGGCAGCCACCUCCCCCGGUACUCAACUCCAGGUCUGAGCUCCUCUCCCCAUAAGAGGGCGAGGGAGGGGAUCCGUGCAAGGCACCGUGCUUGGAGCCCUCUCAGUUCAAAGGUGCCCAAGGAGAUGGAGCUGGCCUAGGGAUGGCUGGAGGCCACACAGACGGGAAGUCACCACAGGUGAAAUCCCUCCCAGCAGCUGGCUUAUGAAAUAAUGCGAGGGGAGGCCGUAAUGAGCUGAAAGCACCCUCAGCUGGAGAUAAAUAUAUGCAAAUGAGAUGCACAAACAAAGGAGCCUGGACAGAGAAAUAUCUGCAAUUCCAGCAAAAUGCUGCCUGCAGCUAGAAGAUGAACAGCUUUGAUAAAAUGCUCCCCACAUGUGUCCGUACGGAUGACUACAGAAAGCAAGCCCCGUCCCUUGCCAUUAGCUGAAACACGGAGAGAAAGGCAGAGCAAGGCAGCACAGCGAUGCCGCGCAGCCCCUACCCUCACGGCAACAUUACAUAGGUUGUUACACAUUUAUAAAGGGAGCACAAACACCGUAAAGUUUGGGCAGCCCUUUCCUUGGGGCACAAAGCGCAAUUUUUAGAAGAAAAAUAGGCUUACCUUUUAGGGGAAAAAAUAUAUAUAUACACGUAAAAAAUCCACCUCUUACUACGCUGUACGGCUUUGGUACUUAGAGAUGUUAGAGCAGACAAGUGUCGGAUUUCCCGAUGUCAAGCAGAUCUCCUAAUUUUUCAUAUCCUCCUCCUGUGGCGAUUUUGGGGCCAGAUUGGAGAGGAAGAGGUUCGGAGCGCUGCCCUGACCCCUGGGAGCCGGCUGCCGCACCCGGACACCCCGGCGCGGGGCUUCAGGAGUUAAUGGAAGUUGGUGGGGCCAGGAGCCGCGCUUUUUGCAGCCCAGGUUUGCAGCGGCAUAAUUAUGUUCAACCGCUGUUGUUUGAAAAGGGCAAGCGGCAUCUUAGGCACAGAACAAUGAAAUUACAGCUGAGAUUUAGGUUAGCAAAAGCCGUCUUCUGCAAGGCUUUUAUGAUUCAUUAUUUCCCAUUAAAUACAGUAUUAGAAGUGUACACCAGAUAGCUCAUGGUUGCUGCGCUCAGAGCACAUUAUCUAUAUUACACAGGUCUGGGGAGCAGAAUUAGAAAACUUUGGGGGAAUGAGCAAUAUGUGUUUGCUGAUAGAAGUACCAUAUGGCUCAUCUUCCUCAAUUGCUUUCAUUGCGACUCCGAUGCUGGAGAAAUUAAAGUUUUAUUUGAUGUGGCACAGCUUAAUGAACUGUCUUCUGUUAGGAAAAUUGAAUAUGUUUCCUGUUAUUUGAGCACAGAGCCCUCAUGGUUUUGGCUGAUGAGGGAUGCAUUAUGUAUUGUUUAUUUAGCAUUUUGAAAAAAAAAAAAAGCAGAUAUUGGAGGUAAAAUUGAUUACCGCAGGAUGCGUUAUAUCAUCCCAUUUUUCUUUCUCUCUUUCUUUAAUUUAUAGCCCUGCCUAUUAUUUUUACGACGGCCUUUUUCGGUUCCCCCACCACCACUAUCACCCCACCCCACCCUCCAAAAAAAGGGGUUUGGAGGCAGAGUGCAUCUCUCAGCUUUGUUUAAAAGCGGCAUUGCAAUUUUUAGGUCUGCGGUCCCUACGUGCUCCCUGUGCAUUGACCCAGCCGGGCUUUGUUAAAGACAGCCGCGGUGCUGCUCUUCUGCCUUCGCAGGGACAUAGAGAGGGGAGCAGCCCCCAGUCCCCCACUUCCAGAGAUGGCAGGAAGGGUUAAUAACUGCAGGACAGAGGUGGCCGAAGGGAAGGGGUGGGUGUAGGGGAGCACGGGGUGGAGCGGGCAACAUGACCUGCUGCUUUUGCAUUGUUUGUCUGCAGCAGGAGAGAAGUUGGUGAUGGAAAGGUGGCUUGGAUAAAAGGAAAUACAUAUUCUGUGGUGAUUAAUUUUUUUAUAAUGCAGGCACGCACUAAGGUGUGCAUGCUCUAGCAAUACCGUGGGGGUACUUGUUCUCUCAUAGCAGCCCUGCAGCAGGAAGAGUCGUGUUUGCUCUUCAGGUUUGUGAGAAGACAAAUGUAUUGAAAUAUACUCCGAAACUUCAAGGG
This is a long non-coding RNA of Gallus gallus (chicken), 25106 nucleotides long. RefSeq lists it as uncharacterized. Lineage: Eukaryota; Metazoa; Chordata; Aves; Galliformes; Phasianidae. The record is from RefSeq and is a predicted model, not a curated record. The transcript is spliced from 18 exons.